Molecule: ribosomal RNA, 406 nt
Filed under: uncultured bacterium
Lineage: Bacteria
Description: partial 16S ribosomal RNA
Rfam family: Bacterial small subunit ribosomal RNA
Source: RNAcentral
AUUGAACGCUGGCGGCAGGCCUAACACAUGCAAGUCGAGCGAGCGGCGGACGGGUGAGUAAUGUCUGGGAAACUGCCUGCUGGAGGGGGAUAACUACUGGAAACGGUAGCUAAUACCGCAUACCAUCAGAUGUGCCCAGGUGGGAUUUGCUAGUAGGUGGGGUAACGGCUCACCUAGGCGACGAUCCCUAGCUGGUCUGAGAGGAUGACCAGCCACACGGGAACUGAACCACGGUCCAGCCUCCAACGGGAGGCAGCAGUGGGGAAUAGUGCACAAUGGGCGCAAGCCUGAUGCGGCCAUGCCGCGUGUGUGAAGAGGGCCUUCGGGUUGUAAAGCCCGUUGAGCGGGGAGGCGUUACCCACAGAGGAGGCACCGGCUAACGCCGUGCCAGCCGCCACGGUAAUAC